RNAcentral lists this ribosomal RNA (253 nucleotides) under uncultured bacterium. RNAcentral's name for it is "partial 16S ribosomal RNA". It matches the Rfam family "Bacterial small subunit ribosomal RNA", at positions 524 to 776 of the family's 1533-position model. The record is from RNAcentral.
UACGGAGGAUGCAAGCGUUAUCCGGAAUGAUUGGGCGUAAAGCGUCCGCAGGUGGCGAUGUAAGUCUGCUGUUAAAGAGUGAGGCUCAACCUCAUAAGAGCAGUGGAAACUACAUAGCUAGAGUGCGGUAGGGGCAGAGGGAAUUCCUGGUGUAGCGGUGAAAUGCGUAGAGAUCAGGAAGGACACCGGUGGCGAAAGCGCUCUGCUAGGCCGCAACUGACACUGAGGGACGAAAGCUAGGGGAGCGAAUGGG